AGUGAACGCUGGCGGUAGGCCUAACACAUGCAAGUCGAACGGCAGCACAGUAAGAGCUUGCUCUUACGGGUGGCGAGUGGCGGACGGGUGAGGAAUACAUCGGAAUCUACUUUUUCGUGGGGGAUAACGUAGGGAAACUUACGCUAAUACCGCAUACGACCUACGGGUGAAAGCAGGGGAUCUUCGGACCUUGUGCGAUUGAAUGAGCCGAUGUCGGAUUAGCUAGUUGGCGGGGUAAAGGCCCACCAAGGCGACGAUCCGUAGCUGGUCUGAGAGGAUGAUCAGCCACACUGGAACUGAGACACGGUCCAGACUCCUACGGGAGGCAGCAGUGGGGAAUAUUGGACAAUGGGCGCAAGCCUGAUCCAGCCAUACCGCGUGGGUGAAGAAGGCCUUCGGGUUGUAAAGCCCUUUUGUUGGGAAAGAAAAGCAGCAGGUUAAUACCCCGCUGUUCUGACGGUACCCAAAGAAUACGCACCGGCUAACUUCGUG
RNAcentral lists this ribosomal RNA (492 nucleotides) under uncultured bacterium. Its description in RNAcentral is "partial 16S ribosomal RNA". It matches the Rfam family "Bacterial small subunit ribosomal RNA", at positions 29 to 507 of the family's 1533-position model. The record is from RNAcentral.